AGCUUUGCGCAGUGGCAGUAUCAUAGCCAAUGAGGUUUAUCCGAGGCGUGAUUAUUGCUAAUUGAGAAUAUUAACCUUACUUUACUUAACCUAACCUUACUUAUGGCCAGUUCUUACUUCAAGAUUUAUUUUUUUCUUAUCUAAA
Lontra canadensis (Northern American river otter) is the source of this 145-nucleotide small nuclear RNA. RefSeq annotates it as U4 spliceosomal RNA. The transcript has a single exon. NCBI's taxonomy places the organism in Eukaryota, Metazoa, Chordata, Mammalia, Carnivora, Mustelidae. The record is from RefSeq and is a predicted model, not a curated record.